CUUCCGUAGGUGAACCUGCGGAAGGAUCAUUGUCG
Molecule: ribosomal RNA, 35 nt
Filed under: Justicia beddomei
Lineage: Eukaryota; Viridiplantae; Streptophyta; Magnoliopsida; Lamiales; Acanthaceae
Description: partial 18S ribosomal RNA
Source: RNAcentral